Molecule: long non-coding RNA, 850 nt
Filed under: Pan troglodytes (chimpanzee)
Lineage: Eukaryota; Metazoa; Chordata; Mammalia; Primates; Hominidae
Description: lncRNA (ENSPTRG00000054242.1)
Source: RNAcentral
UGCCAGUCCUUGGAGGAGUUUCCAGGCUGUGAUAAGACCUUAUUUGUGUUUUUGACAGAAUUUGGACAGGAGAAGUCACAUCAGGGAGACCAGAGACUAGAGUAUUGCAUCAUAGAGGAAAGACACUGAUGACAAGAACUCAGGGGAGCAGUGGAACUGGAGGCCUGGGAGCUUGGGACGUGUUCUCUGGGUGAAGUUGGCCGGCCAGCUGAUGACCUACACCAGUGGCAUUCACUCCUCAUGUGUCCCCCAGGAAUUCAUGGUGUGUGUCAUCAGGUAGCAAAGAGAAACAUCUGCUAUGGAAAAAGCUUAAUUGAUUUUUAUCUGAUGUCACGAAGCUGCUACGAGGCACCAUCACCAGCAGGUGGGUGCUGAUGACGCCCUGUGCCGAGGACUCCGUUUUAUGAAAAACAUCAAUCCUGCCAUCUAAGAGGAGAAGACAUGCUCAAUUAGUUUAUCUCUGCCUCCCUACCCAUGUUCAACAAGGUAUCCCAGAAGAACUUAAAAGCUAUUUACUCUGGAUUAUAAUAGAUCCUCUUGACGUUCUGUAACUGGUGAAGCCAUGGGAGAGUCCUGGCUUAAUUAUAAACAACCACAAAGUUAUCAUCAGUGCUACCUGGCUACAAAUUGUUUCUUGCAGAGAAAAUUUUUAGCUAUUUAAGUCCCACGAAAGUAAAUUUGGGGGCUGAAAAUUUUUAAUAAGUAUUUAAACAGCAGACCUUCAAUUUCUCUAGACCCAGUGAAAACAGAAAACAAGAUGGAGUAUUUGCUUGCCAUGAACCUUUCCUCCCACAACAACUGUGCAUUUUAGAAAGUCAGUAGUAACUAGCUUAUAAAAUACAGAGCUCUG